UACGGAGGAUCCGAGCGUUAUCCGGAUUUAUUGGGUUUAAAGGGUGCGUAGGUGGUUUGAUAAGUCAGCGGUGAAAGUUUGCAGCUUAACUGUAAAAAUGCCGUUGAAACUGUCGGACUUGAGUGUAAAUGAGGUAGGCGGAAUGCGUGGUGUAGCGGUGAAAUGCAUAGAUAUCACGCAGAACUCCGAUUGCGAAGGCAGCUUACUAAGCUACAACUGACACUGAAGCACGAAAGCGUGGGGAUCAAACAGG
This 253-nucleotide ribosomal RNA is filed under the name uncultured bacterium. RNAcentral describes it as "partial 16S ribosomal RNA". It matches the Rfam family "Bacterial small subunit ribosomal RNA", at positions 524 to 776 of the family's 1533-position model. The record is from RNAcentral. RNAcentral also lists the same sequence under 1 other name.